UCUGGUUGUGAGUGGAUCCAAGAGUUCACAUGAUGCAGUAUCUUUUUGAAAGAUGAUACAUUAUCUUCAUAAAAGAAAGGAAGUUGGAGGAGUUAUUAUUGAAGAGGGAUUCAGUGGUAUGUGCUUCUCAAGAGCUAAACUGGAACAAGAAGUGCAUGACUCUCAUGCCUACACUAACUAAUCAGACUUCCCGAAGGAGAAGAAGGAGGUGCGGAAAGAGGAUGGGAGCAACAAAUCUGAAUCAAAGAGGGUGAGAAUUACUUAUCGAUGACUCGGGCAUCAACUCUUGAUUUUCGGCGGAAGACACAGGGUCAGAACAACUGGUCUGGGCCGUUGCGCCUAGUAAAUAUCAUCAGAAAUAAAUUCCCUACCUACAAGAAUGGUACGAAUGGGAUAGUCAUCAAAUUUGCUGAUGAGCCAGAAACGCCAUGACUUAAGGAGUCUGUUGCCAAAGAGACAGCAGAUUUGCUUGAUCGGCGUCAGCGUCUUUCAGUCCGCGAGCUCGCAAUGAAAUUUGAGAAGGGCCUCAGUACUGCCACAUUAUUAUCUAAUGAGGUAUGGGUCUUCCUGAUUCCUGAACACUCAUUUAGCAAUUGGUCCAGUUAUUACAGACCUUAAGUUAUUGCAUUGGCUUUAACUCUUAGGUUAAAUUUAAACAAGUGGCUUUAUUGGAGCGAGACAUCCUUCUGAAGAAUCUAAAGAGUGUAUUGGAGUCACUGAGAGGACAAGUAGCUGGCAAAUAUAAGGAUGAAUUUGAGGAAUCAGUAUCUAUGGUGGAUAUUUUAGCAGUUCAGCUGUCCAAAAGAGAAAAUGAGUUGCUUCAGCAGAAAACCGAGGUCACGAGAAUAGCGACUUCACUGACACUGGUGAGUUGAUCCUCGUACUUUGGAAGUAUCUUUAUUCUAUGGACCUUUGUAAGCACAUUUUAGUACCAUGAUCCAUUCUGUGUUCUCUGUUUACAAUG
Molecule: long non-coding RNA, 964 nt
Organism: Aegilops tauschii subsp. strangulata
Lineage: Eukaryota; Viridiplantae; Streptophyta; Magnoliopsida; Poales; Poaceae
Source: RefSeq, a predicted model, not a curated record